AAGUCGUAACAAGGUUUCCGUAGGUGAACCUGCGGAAGGAUCAUUAAUACGUCUAAACAACGUUUUAAACCUUUCAAAUUUGUGGAAAUUCUUACCAUUCCGGGUGCAUUUUAUUGGCAUGAGAAGGGACUUCUUGUAAUGAGACACUUCAGUGUAGAGCAGUGAGGUGAAAUCUGAGCUUUUGAUGGCUUGGAUUUGGUUCUGGAUCACGACUCUUUGGUGACAGAGAGUCAAAUGCUGAAUGCAUUCGGUUAUUACUGUUCUACAUUUUAUUCUAUCAAACUUAUAAACCCCAUGUACAACAACUUGAACUAAACAUCUCUUCUGAUCACAUUGACUUGUGUGAUGAAGAACAAAUCUGAAAUUAAGAACAACUCUUAACAACGGAUAUCUUGGUUCUC
RNAcentral lists this unclassified non-coding RNA (401 nucleotides) under fungal sp. Its description in RNAcentral is "partial internal transcribed spacer region". The stretch from base 1 to 46 matches the Rfam family "Eukaryotic small subunit ribosomal RNA", at positions 1786 to 1831 of the family's 1831-position model. The record is from RNAcentral. Lineage: Eukaryota; Fungi.